Molecule: transfer RNA, 57 nt
Filed under: Vibrio vulnificus
Lineage: Bacteria; Pseudomonadati; Pseudomonadota; Gammaproteobacteria; Vibrionales; Vibrionaceae
Description: tRNA-Pro
Rfam family: tRNA
About the family: Transfer RNA (tRNA) molecules are approximately 80 nucleotides in length.
Source: RNAcentral
UAGCGCAGCUUGGUAGCGCAUCUGGUUUGGGACCAGAGGGUCGGGGGUUCGAAUCCC